Phyllostomus discolor (pale spear-nosed bat) is the source of this 635-nucleotide non-coding RNA. NCBI's taxonomy places the organism in Eukaryota, Metazoa, Chordata, Mammalia, Chiroptera, Phyllostomidae. The record is from the annotation of a RefSeq genome assembly.
UGACAGGGGGCUGAGGUUUCUCGAGAAGGCAAAGCUGUGCUCUAGGGAAGAUGAGACUGCUGGGUCUCCUCCUGUGCCUGGUGACAGCCCCCCUGGGCGUCCUGUCCCAGGUGAAGUUGCAGGAGUCGGGCCCAGGACUGGUGAAGCCCUCACAGACCCUCUCCCUCACCUGCACUGUCUCUGGAUUCUCUUUAACAAGCUGGAGUGUGCACUGGGCUCGCCAGGCUCCAGGGAAGGGGCUGGAGUGGGUCGGUGUUAUGGGGUAUGAUGGAAGUGCAUACUACAACCCAGCGCUGAAAUCCCGACUCAGCAUCACCAGGGACACCUCCAAGAGCCAAGUUUAUUUGGCACUGAGCAGUGUCACAACCGAGGACACAGCCAUGUAUCACUGUGCCAGAGACACAGUGAGGGGAAGUCAGUGUGAGCCCAGACACAAACCUCACUGUGGAAGGCAGGAGGACUGUCCUGCAGGGGACAUUCAGGACACCAGGGGUCACUCUCCUCUCACCAAUCAUAGAGAACAGCCCUGGGGGCAGGUGUGGACCUGGUCGGGACUGAAGGAGCUUCCUCCUGGGAGCAGGGAUUUCCUCUCAGAGCUCACAGCUGCAUCCAGGGACCCUGCCUUCUCUCUGUGA